This 252-nucleotide ribosomal RNA is filed under the name uncultured bacterium. RNAcentral's name for it is "partial 16S ribosomal RNA". It matches the Rfam family "Bacterial small subunit ribosomal RNA", at positions 524 to 776 of the family's 1533-position model. The record is from RNAcentral.
UACGUAGGGGCAAGCGUUGUCCGGAUUUAUUGGGCGUAAAGAGCGUGUAGGCGGCCAAACAGGUCAGCUGUGAAAACUCGAGGCUCAACCUCGAGACGUCGGUUGAAACCGUUUGGCUAGAGUCCGGAAGAGGAGAGUGGAAUUCCCGGUGUAGCGGUGAAAUGCGCAGAUAUCGGGAAGAACACUCGUGGCGAAGGCGGCUCUCUGGGACGGUACUGACGCUGAGACGCGAAAGCGUGGGGAGCGAACAGG